ACCAACUCUGUUGCGCUGUGCACUGCCGUGCGUUUAACCCAGGCGCGGAGGAGGAGGAGAAAAUCCCCCCAGAUCCGGGCAGGCCCCGCACCCCACAUCCCAUCCAGUUUUGAGAGGAGGAGGGAAGAGAAAUAAACGUGGCAGCGCAUAUAAGGCCAGUGGGGAGGUUGGGGAAAGGGUGAUCCGAGGGGCACGCAAUUAGUAAACAAGCCGGCUUAUUCACUCCCACUCUCACUUUUCAGAUACCUCCUUCGACCACUGCCCCCACACCCUCUUCCCCGGCCGGCCCCCAGUCCUUUGGGGUGCUAGGAAAUGGGUGUGACAGCAUUUGUAGGGGAGAUGGCGGGUUGGCUCUGGGCUUUACAGGAAGGAAGACCCUGAGAGAAACCGCCGUGCUAAGAAAGCCUAGGCUGCUUUCCAGACAUCACUGGCCCAUACAGCCCUUCACCUCUGUUUUUUCAGUCCUGAGAAAGGAGUUUGGGUUUCUCUGCCUUUUGGGCCCUGCACAACUGUUAGCCUGGUGGAAAAGUGCAAAUUGCUCCUGCUCUCCCAGCAGAUUGGUCCUGCUUUGCUUGCAGCCUCAGCAGAAUUUUGAGCCUGAGCUGAAGCGCCUCACUUGGACGUGCACGCACCCCACUUGGGCACGUCUGGAUCAGA
RNAcentral lists this long non-coding RNA (657 nucleotides) under Bos mutus (wild yak). RNAcentral describes it as "lncRNA (ENSBMUG00000019226.1)". Lineage: Eukaryota; Metazoa; Chordata; Mammalia; Artiodactyla; Bovidae. The record is from RNAcentral.